GUGACAAUGGCAAGGAGGUCACACCUGUUCCCAUGCCGAACACAGAAGUUAAGCUCCUUAGCGCCGAUGGUAGUCGGGCUUACGUCCCGCUAGAGUAGGACGUUGCCAGGC
Molecule: ribosomal RNA, 111 nt
Filed under: Staphylococcus caprae
Lineage: Bacteria; Bacillati; Bacillota; Bacilli; Caryophanales; Staphylococcaceae
Also listed under: 1 other name
Source: RNAcentral